This 230-nucleotide ribosomal RNA is filed under the name Toxoplasma gondii TgCatPRC2. Its description in RNAcentral is "partial 18S ribosomal RNA". Lineage: Eukaryota; Apicomplexa; Conoidasida; Eucoccidiorida; Sarcocystidae. The record is from RNAcentral.
AGUAAAGACCAUCAAAUAAACUAUAACUGUUUUAAUGAGCCAUUCGCAGUUUAGCCGUAUAAAAGCUUAUACUUAGACAUGCAUGGCUUAAUCUUUAAGACAAGCAUAUGACUACUGGCAGGAUCAACCAGGUUAAUAUGUUCCUGAGACAGACCACCUCGAAAACACCAAAAAAACACUCAAUCAACCGUCUAUUUUCCGGCCUCUUUCGUGUUUUAUGGCAUAAACAG